CCUACGGGUGGCAGCAGUGAGGAAUAUUGGUCAAUGGGCGCGAGCCUGAACCAGCCAAGUCGCGUGAGGGAAGACGGUCCUAUGGAUUGUAAACCUCUUUUGUCGGGGAGCAAAAGACGCCACGCGUGGCGUUCCGAGCGUACCCGAAGAACAAGCAUCGGCUAACUCCGUGCCAGCAGCCGCGGUCAUACGGAGGCUGCUAGCGUUAUCCGGAUUUAUUGGGUUUAAGGGGCGCGCAGGCGGAAGAGCAAGUCAGCGGUAAAAUUGAGAGGCUCAACCUCUUCGAGCCGUUGAAACUGGUUGUCUUGAGUGAGUGAGAAGUAUGCGGAAUGCGUGGUGUAGCGGUGAAAUGCAUAGAUAUCACGCAGAACUCCGAUUGCGAAGGCAGCAUACCGGCGCUCAACUGACGCUCAUGCACGAAAGUGUGGGUAUCGAACAGGAUUAGAUACCCGAGUAGUC
RNAcentral lists this ribosomal RNA (459 nucleotides) under uncultured bacterium. RNAcentral describes it as "partial 16S ribosomal RNA". It matches the Rfam family "Bacterial small subunit ribosomal RNA", at positions 338 to 795 of the family's 1533-position model. The record is from RNAcentral.